RNAcentral lists this ribosomal RNA (1254 nucleotides) under Torpedospora yanbuensis. RNAcentral's name for it is "partial large subunit ribosomal RNA". It matches the Rfam family "Eukaryotic large subunit ribosomal RNA", at positions 92 to 1387 of the family's 3401-position model. Lineage: Eukaryota; Fungi; Ascomycota; Sordariomycetes; Torpedosporales; Torpedosporaceae. The record is from RNAcentral.
AGUGAAGCGGCAACAGCUCAGAUUUGAAAUCCGGCACCCGUGCCCGAGUUGUAAUCUGGAGAGGAAGCCUCUGCGACGCGCCGCCCGAGUUCCCUGGAACGGGACGCCUUAGAGGGUGAGAGCCCCGUAAGGGACGGCGCCUAGCCUCUGUGAGGCUCUUUCGACGAGUCGAGUAGUUUGGGAAUGCUGCUCUAAGUGGGAGGUAAAUUUCUUCUAAAGCUAAAUACCGGCCAGAGACCGAUAGCGCACAAGUAGAGUGAUCGAAAGAUGAAAAGCACUUUGGAAAGAGGGUGAAACAGUACGUGAAAUUGCUGAAAGGGAAGCGCUUGUGACCAGACUCGCGCCCGGCGGAUCACCCAGCCUCGGCUGGUGCACUCUGCCGGGCCGGGCCAGCACCGGUCCGGCCCGGGGGAGAAAGGCGGCGGGAACGUGGCCCUUCGGGGUGUUAUAGCCCGCCGCGUAAUGCCCUGUGUCGGACCGAGGCCCGCGCUCUGCAAGGGUGCUGGCGUAAUGGUCAUCAGCGGCCCGUCUUGAAACACGGACCAAGGAGUCGUCCUCGCAUGCGAGUGUUUGGGUGUAAAACCCCAGCGCGUAAUGAAAGUGAACGCAGGUGGGAGCCUCGGCGCACCAUCGACCGAUCCUGAUGUUCUCGGAUGGAUUUGAGUAGGAGCAUGCGGGGCCGGACCCGAAAGAAGGUGACUAUGCGUGUAUAGGGUGAAGCCAGAGGAAACUCUGGUGGAGGCUCGCAGCGGUUCUGACGUGCAAAUCGAUCGUCAAAUAUGCGCAUGGGGGCGAAAGACUAAUCGAACCUUCUAGUAGCUGGUUUCCGCCGAAGUUUCCCUCAGGAUAGCAGUGUCGAACUCAGUUUUAUGAGGUAAAGCGAAUGAUUAGGGACUCGGGGGCGCUAUAUUGCCUUCAUCCAUUCUCAAACUUUAAAUAUGUAAGAAGCCCUUGUUACUUUGUUGAACGUGGGCAUUCGAAUGUAUCGACACUAGUGGGCCAUUUUUGGUAGCAGAACUGGCGAUGCGGGAUGAACCGAACGCGGGGUUAAGGUGCCAGAGUGGACGCUCAUCAGACACCACAAAAGGUGUUAGUACAUCCAGACAGCAGGACGGUGGCCAUGGAAGUCGGAAUCCGCUAAGGACUGUGUAACAACUCACCUGCCGAAUGUACUAGCCCUGAAAAUGGAUGGCGCUCAAGCGUCCCACCCAUACCCCGCCCCCGGGGUAGAAGCGAGGCCCCGGGGAGUAGGCG